CGGGAGGGUAACCGGGGGCGGCGGAGCCUAAGCAGUGCGGUGGCCCUUCGCUCUCGAAAGCAAAAGGAGGCACCCGCCUGCGUGCAGCAGGUUUGGGCCUUUGCAAGACAUGGAUCCUGAGGAUGCAGGAGAGAUGGCAGCUGAGUUGCAUGGACAGACUGUGGGUGGCUGGGGCCUUUUUCAGAUUGCGGCCGGUGCUGGCUUGACUGCCUAUGUUGUAUGGGCAGGAAUUCUCAUGCCAGGAUUCCGCAAAGUGCCUUUACGAUUACAGGUGCCAUAUGUCCCAGCAAGUGCUAAGCAAGUGGAGAAUGUUAUGUCUUUGCUGAAAGGACGCUCUGGGAAGAUGGUGGAUUUGGGGUCCGGAGAUGGCAGAAUAGUAUUAGAGGCCUACAAUCAAGGACUCAGUCCAGCUGUUGGCUAUGAACUGAAUCCGUGGCUGUUGCGACUGUCCAGCUAUUGUGCCUGGAAGGCUGGGCUUUACGGGAAGGUUUCUUUCCAUCGGGAAGAUCUUUGGAAGGUGAAUCUGUCAGACUGUAAGAAUGUAACUGUGUUUCUUGCACCUAGCGUGAUGCUGCCCCUGGAAAGCAAGCUGCUCAUGGAGCUUCCAGAUGAGGCCCGUGUGGUCACUGGGCGCUUCCCCCUCCCCACCUGGACACCCUCCAGCGUGGCAGGGGAAGGUGUGAACCAAGCCUGGGCUUAUGAUAUCCGGACUGUACGUCAGACCCAGAAGGACAAGACAGAGGGAAGCCCAGUAUGAUGGCCGGUGGACUCUGAACGUUCUUCGUAAGGCGGCCGAGCAUUCUUUCGGGCUCCUGUUAAGGCUGAACGUGCCUUUUUCCGUUGCUGACCUCAGCAGCCCUUAGAGCUCCAAGCAGGAUAAGCUUUGGCUGAGAUCCGGCUGAGAAUCAGUGAGCGGCCCAAACUCACCCAGUGAGCGCCAUGGCCAGGUGGGGACCAGAGCCCAGGUCUCCAGAGUCCAAGGCCGACUGUCAAACCGCUACGCCAUACUGACUGUUGGUAGGUAUCGUUAGACUGGGCUUAGCCCAGGUAGCCAUUGAAACCCAGGAUGGUCCUCUGCACAAAAGAAGGCACCAGGCCUAGGCUGGGGCUGCAGUCUACUUAACCGGAAGCUUGAGCUCUCCUCUCCUGUCCAGCACUGACUUUGCACGACCCGUGUUUGCGGGGGUUCAUUGCAUCCUCUUGGCCACUCCAACCUCACUCCACAUCCUCUACCAGAAGGGCCCACCAUGCAGGCCACGAAAAGGAAAGCGAUCCAGCCGGGCUCACCUUCAUCUGCAGCUCGUGAAGCUGCCCCUCCAGGCUGGCUUUGUCUUCUCGCAGGCGGUUCAGCUCCUGAGAGGUGCUUGUCAGCAGCUCGGUGUCUGUGAUGCUGAAAAUGUGCUCUGCCGGGCCCGGGUCCAUGUCGCUACUGCCCAGUGACCGGAUCUGUUCACGCUGCAUCCUGUCAAGCGACGGGGGAGGUUACUGAGCAGCCCAAGUCUUGGUGGGGACGUGGGUUCACCAGUCAGCCCGUCCACAGCAGCCACUGCCACUGCCCAUGGGGGCAUUCAGCUCGGAAGCUUCCCCCAGCCUGGUGCCUUCCAAAGGUUUUGGGGUAACCCUUUUAUUCUUGGCCACUGGCUGUUCUGGUUGGGGUGAUGGAAGCUGUACUUAAACAAUCUGUAAGGUGCCAGGAUAGAGGAGGCAGAUCUAGGGGGAGCUGUGCCAGUCCCAAACAGGCAUAGCAUUCCACAGUCCUGCACAAGGGGUGAGCAACGUUAAAAUGUGCCUUGGGGGGCAGAACCGGAGAAUCCCAGGUUCCAUUUCUUUAAAAGACUGCUUCUAGCCUAGUCAUUUGUGAAAACGACUAGGCAUUCACAGAUGGCCCAGCGAGCUUUCCAAAACCAGAGAGAAGCCCCAGGUGUUAGGCAAAAAGAGACCAGCCAGGAUCAGCCGUGCAAAUUGAAGGGAACAUAAACAAAUUUGCUUUAUGUGUAAAAUCUAUAUGUGCUUGUGUUCAUAGUUUUUCUGGAGGCAGGAUGUGGCCUUUUUUACUAUGAAAUACACACAGCCCUGGUUCACUGCCUUCUCUGACGUGGCUGUUCCCUUUUUUCAGUGUAAUUGUGUUAUUACAGCAAAAAUAGGGCAGAACCUUGCCAGCUUAAACAUCUGUAAAAAUGCACAUAUAGAAAAAACGGCUUUCAACCCCAGUUAUAGGCCUUUUGUCUGUCUAAUUUUCAUAGGGUUGGACCCUGAGAUAUUUAUUAUGGAACGGGGCCUAAUAUGAGCCACGUGAGCCUAAUAAGAUCUGCUGGGGUCCCCAUUUCUUCGGGUCCUCAGCUCUCGCCUGGAGCUCUCAUCACUUCCCUAGGGUACAGCAAGCUUUUGACCCCUGGUCAAGAGCUCAUCAGUUUAGUGGCCUCUUCAACACAUCUGGUGAAGUGGACUGUGGCCCAUAAAAACGUAAGGCCUGAUGGAUCUGUUAGCUUUCAGAGUGCCAGCCGUUGUUGCAUGGGCUAUCCCCUCUUGAGAUCCAUGCGUGAUGUAGCCCUUAUAGCAGGGUGGCCAGCGAGCAGCUCUCUGGAUGCUUUAGCUUGCAGCUCCAUCAGCCCUGCUGGCGUGGCCACUGGUGAGGGACCAUGGAAGGCCACAGGCGGCCAGCAUGCAACCUCUUCUUGUGGGCUCUCCAUUGGACAUCAGGCUGGCCCAUGUGGGGACAAGAGCACCAGACCAGAGAGGCCUGUGGUCCGAUCCAGCAGGCCUCUGCAUAUCUUCUUUGCUUCCAGAACGGCUUGCACCUCCACCCAAACCCGCUAGAAUAUAACUGCUGGUGGUACGUGAAUUGCCGCUUUCCCAGGCAGUCUCUUUCCCUACCUGUAUGCGAUCAGCAGGCCCUCGUGCUUCUUGACCAGCUUCUGCAGGCGUUUCUUGUAGCCCCGAGCAGCUCCGGCCAGCUGCUCCUCCCGAGACCUGUGGGAAGCCCGGAUGUCCUUCAGCAGGCUGUCCACGAAGUGCUUCAUGUGCGCAGGCUCCGGAGGUGCUUUGCAGGUCCCCUUGGUGUUGGCAGCUGUCUUGCUGUCGGUGUAUUCCUGGGGACACAGCCGUGGUGCUUCACUCACUCGCCCCGUUUUUUCCUGGACUGCAGACGGGACACCCUAGCCUGCCACGGGGGAUUCAUCAACUAAAGGUUCCUGUGAUCUUUAAGUACCAAAGCUGCCCACUGUGUCUCUGUCCAUGGUCUAUGCACAUUAUUUUCCAACUUCUGUUCAGGCCGUUUUUCCACACUCGGCAUCUGAUAUCUUUGGAACACAGAAAGCUGCCUUGUACCCAGUCAAAAACCUCAUGCACAGGGGCCACUCCCGGCCCAUUUGGGAUCUGAAUUAGGCCAUCCAGCGUUCCUCUUCCCCAGCUUUUCCUCCGACUACCUUUUAUUUGGUAGUUUCUCAGCUUUUGGGCAGCUUUUCUGCAAUGCUAAAAGUUUGCGGUUAGGGGUAGGGCAUUUUCUGCAACACUGGAGGUUUUGAGGAUGCAGCAGCAGGAGUCAGGUGGGAAUGUUUUGUAUAGCUUUGAAAGCUACUUUGAAAAGGUGAGGAAGAUGCCUUCAGAGGAGGAGGGGGAAGAGGGGCCAGAAAUUAUGGACCCAGAAUUAGCAUCAGCUAAGGAAGGAGGAGCAGCAUGAACUAAGGCACCAGUCAAAGAGGUUCACCGGCCAAGUGGCUUCCCCAGAAAAGGACCAUCCCAAUCGCAGGAUGGGUUUAGCACAGCUCCCUGAGCAGGAAGGCUGUAAGCAGCCUCCUUUUCCCUGGUAUGUAAGUUUUCUUUCCGUAGGCCACUUUGUCAUGGCCCACUGACAAUGCAUCUUGAGUAUUUUAUGGCUUCUCUUCGUAACUUGACCUGCUGCAGAGCCGGAAAGAAGGCUAAAUCUUUUGCAUCUUUUUUGCAUAAAUAAAAUUAGCUACUUUGAAUCCUAGUCAGUUACAGCAAAGCUCUGACCCUUGAAAUUUAAAUAGUUUCUUACCUUUGUAGCACAUGUAUAUAUCAAUAUUAGCGCCAUAACUUUAAGCUCCCAAGCCUUUCAUGCCAUGGGCCACGUUGGGUAGGCUUGAAUUUAGAAGAAGGAGCUUGUAUCCCAGACUAGCCAGUGUAAAAUAAGAAUGAAUGCCGGAAUUCUUACGAAUUCUUUCCCUCUUAAAGAGAUUAGUCAAAACAACCCUUCAAGGAGAAUGACCUAGAAAUAAACUUUCUAAGUGUUACGUGUGUUUGUGUAAAUACAAAAUUGGGGCUCUUUCUCUCUGACUGCACGUAUUAAGGACCGUAAGCUGUCCUGAGAUGCUAUAAGGGACCACAUACAAAAGUUUUAAAUAAAUAAAAUAAAUAUUAAACUCCCGCAAAAGAUCCGAGCAAAAGACUUUGAGGCAACCCAGAGUGCAAGCACCUCCUUUGAGAUGUGCUGCCCCCCCACCACCAAGAUUACCUGGCAUAACAGUUUCAUCCCAAGACUGAGUGGGCCAAAAGGCCGAGCAUUUCACAUGGCCACGCCAAAAGGCCGAGCAUAAUACCAUUGGCACAGGGGCACUUUUUUAAAAUUUAAAGCAAACUGCAUAGAUGGAUACAAACUUAUAUAGAUUUGUACAAAUUCCGCCCUCUUUGGGCUGGGUUUGGGGUUAUUUUUGCUGAAACUGCCUUUUGUUUGGUUAGGUGGGAGAACCAGUGGAAAAGAUCACUUAUCAAUGCUCACCGCCAGGUCCGUAAUGUACUGAAUGAGCCGAGAGCGGUACUCCUCGUUUAACUCCUUCAGUUGUAGCUGCAGCCGGGAAUUCUCAGCUUCCACUUCUUGGAGCUGGUUCUGAGAGGAAAGCAGUGCCUGUGGUCCAAGCAGACAAAAAGGGAACCGGGCAAUUAGCAGGCUGUGUAUCAUGGCACGUCUGCCGUUCAAGCAAAGGGCUGCGCCCGGUGGUGUAGUGGAGCCGUGGCUUGCAGGGAUGCCGGGUCCGCACUCUUAGUGGGGGCUUGGCUGAAGCCUGCCUCCCCUCUCGGGAUUCUUCGUUCCCUCUGGGCUUAUCUGCCCGCUUCACCGUGGCUGGAGGGAGACGACUUUUUACAGCAAUGCACUGUUCCUUCUUGAGCCACACGGUUUUGGUGUGGCCGAGUUUUGCAUGGGCAGUUAAGACCCAUCAGCUUGGCUAAAGACCUGCUCUUGGUGGAGAGGAAGACCAAGACCGAAUCAGCGGCCUUCCUUUUAGGACCCUCCGUGGCAGCAAGACUCUGGGGACGGUCUCUGGUAUGAGAACAGCCAAGCUUCUAGUCCGGGACUUGGCUUUUUGUGGCAGCUUGGCAAAUACCUCUGGGAAAUGUGCCACCACCCUCCUGUCCUGUUGCUCCGGAGGGCCCAAAUGGACGCCACACAUGCCGCCCAUGUUUCCGGCUUGGAGGCUGUGAGUACCACUGAUCCUGCGGCAGAAGCAGACCCCCCCGCCUACCAGUGGCUCGGCCAGCAGCCCCAGCAUUGGCAGACGGAAAAAGGCUGAGAAGCCCCCAAGAGACUAGGGUGUGCUGAGCAGUUGCGCCUCUGUGCAUGCACAGAGAUGCGUGUGCGUAUGCAUGCAUGCGUGAAAGGAAAGAAUGGGUUUCUCCCCUUUUGGGGUGGCGGGAUGCCCACUGCCGGCAUCCAGACCCUGCAGUACUGGCCAUAAGGCAGUUCAGGCCAACAAACGGUCCCAAAGCUGUUAUAAAAGGUGGCUAAAAACUCUUCUGCCAGACCAUCCUUCCUUCUUUUCUGUCCUCUGAUUGCUUUCUUCCAUUAAUCAGGAUGCUAGUCCUCAUAAUAAUGUCCUAUGUACUGAUUUGAUCUGCUGCCGCUUCAAUGUUUAUCAUCUCAUCUGGUUUAUUUCACAGGAAGCUGCUGCUUUCGGGGCCUUGAGCCUCCGAACAAAUUCUGAAUGAAUCUGUUGCAUUUACACUUCUGCCUCCCUUUGCCGGACGUCUCCCUUCCUCUUCUCUCCCGCAACCUCACUUUCCCCAUUUUUUUAACCAAGGCUUCGCCGAGGUCUCCGUACCGCCGACUGUUCCGCCAGCUUGUGCUGCGUGGUCCGAAUCGCCUUUUUGGCCUCUUGCAGCUCCUUCCCCAUGGUCACCCUGGGAACACAAGGAAGACGGUGAGCGCGCUAACCCUGCAGGGGACCAUCGGGCGGCCGGGGCCUGCAGGGGGCUCCGGAGUGGGGCAACCCGCGUCUGGCCACAUCAGCCGAUCGGAGCACGUAGAUGAGCCCCGAGAAGCCGAGACUGCUUCCCCGGAAGCUGCCUGCUCCUGCUGAGUGCAAGGAAAGGACCAGCUCUGUCGCUGACCCAGGUGGGGUCGGCUGCCAGGAGGGGCUCACGGGUGGAGCACCUUCCGGGCCAAACGUGAGUAGGACAGACUGGGUGGAUCCCCAUUCAGCUACAGAACUUACUCAGCCCAAUUCUUAGCUCCCCCCCCCCGCCCACCUCACUGGGUGGUUGUGGGGAAGGACUAGAGUGACUGUCCUAUCAAUUCGCACACCAGAGAAGGACAAGGCAAAGGGAUGUGUGUAUGCUGAGAUGAAUUAGUUACUGGCUGCAGGUGAGGCACAGCGACUCAGCAGGUUUCUAGUCCUUAAAUUGUCUGGCGAAAACUUUGAAGUCAGAAGGGUGCUCUGUAGGAAUUUUGCUCUUUAGGAUUUGGGGCUUCAUGUCUCUUUGUCCUGUCCUCAAGGCUGACUGUCAAGACCCGCGGCAGCUUCAGGGCUCCCUCUGCUGGCCAAGGGCCGGCGGAGCAGCUCUGGAGGCUGCAGGAUUCUGACCCCAGCCCACUGCAGCUGCCAGGGCGCUCAGGAGUCCCGCCUGGGGAGCCCUGGGGAAGAGCCAUACAAGAGCCAGCUCUUCCCUCAGGAGCUGCCUCGGCAAGAAAGGCCUCCCGUUGUUGGCGAAGCCCUCCCUGGUCUGCCAGACCCGGAACUCCGCUCCUGCGUCCUGCCUGUGUGCCUCGGUCCUGCUUCCAGCCUCCACCUCUGCCCUCCCCGACUGGCCUGCCUUCCCCAGUUCCCCGACCCUUGGCUCGCUCCGGACUACGCUACCCAUAGCGUAGCCUUGCCUAGUAUGUCGACCUCCGGCUUGGCCUUGGACUGUGUUCUGGACUUGCUCUUGCCACGCUCUGCCUGCCCGGGUCCCGGUGUCUUUACCCUGCUAGUCAGCUGUCCUCGCCCCAGAUGCUGACAGAUGCUGAGUAAGGGAAGGAAUCUGUUGAUGGGCAUGAGCCACUCCAGGAACAGCUCAUGGGUGGUCUUGUGAAUGCUGUUGCUUUGGGUGGUCUUGUGAAUCUCAGAAUGCGAGACACAAGAAUCCAUGCAGUUCAUCUGCAUGCGUGUACAGCACGGUGCAAUGUCUGGCUUCUCGUGACACAGAAGGCCUUCUAAGAAAGUCUGUUUUCAUUUUUUGGAAACCCACAAAUUCCAAGACUUCACAGCUGAGAUGGAAAAUGUAGAAAUACAGUGGCAAUGCCAAACCCCAGGGAAAUGUGGGCAAGCAUGCUUUGCCCUGUUUCUCUCUAGCAGCCAUUUAGAAAGGGCUACACACAUUUUCUGUACUGUGGAUUGCAAUUACAAUCCUUGUUCCUUCUUGCAUCUAGCAAGCAUGUCAAGUCGUCUUUGCUAAGCCUGCAGCUGGAUGCGGGAGCCCAUGUGGAAGUGGAGCAGGGGUUUGAGCCAGUGUCUCUGUAAGCCCUUCCAGCUGUUCUGUUCUGUUCUAUAACCCUGGGAAUGCUUUACAUCGGAGGUUCCAGUGUCAGUGAGGUGAUGUAGCCACCCUGGGUCUGAAUGUUAAAGGAGCUGUCCAUGGUGAAGAGCCAUCCCCAGGUUCAGAACCAUGACCAGCCCCUGGAAAAUUCAGGCUACUGUGCUUAGUGGAUACUCAUUCCCACUGACACCAGAACCACCCACCUCACCUGCGUGGGCACUGUAGUUCUGUGGAUGAGAAUUUGUAGCAUCCUCACAGUGCUAUUGACUCCUGAGAUGAUUCUGGCACAGCUGUUACCCUUUGGGUGCCAAAGUACCAGCAAAACCUCCACAGCCUUCCCCAACCUGGGCCGUCAAGAAGCACUGGACUGCAGCACCCAGAAUUCCCAGCCGAUGUGGCCAGGCCCAGUAGCCCGUGCCAUUUUAUGUUUUUAGUUAUUAGAGUUCUCUCCUACUUUCCCCCUACAAUGAACUCAAAGCGGCAUACAUAAUUCUCCUGCUCUCAAUCUUAUUCCCACAAUUCCUUUCAUUACCCAGGGUCUUACAUUCUCUCCUCUAGUUUCCGUUGCUGGGAGCUGUACAUGUCUUUCAUCUUUUCGAUCUCCAUGGUGAUGUGAUCUUGGUUUCCAAAUAGCUGGUAGGGAGGGGAAAAAAACCCAGAAGUUGUUGUCAGCUUGUAUGGAUAUAGCAAGCUGCUUUCAUGGAGUCAGAUGAGCCCGUGUGGCACAGUUCUUCAAGUGUCCAGCUGGGACUCCGGAGAUCCGGAUUCUAGGGCUCCACUUGAGCCUGAAACGCGAUGGGUGACUUUGGACCAAACACUGACUCAGCCUAGCCUACCUCACUGGGUGGUUGUGUAGAUAGCAUGGGAAGGAAAUUGAGGGUUAUGCUGAAGUUGGUUCCUUGCAGGAAAAAAGUGAUGUAUAAAUGUAAUGGAAAAAUAAAUGACGGUCCAUCUCACAGGGUGGGCUAACUGAGGCUAUGCAGAUGUUUUGGACAACCACUUCCACCAGUCCCAGCCAGCAUGUCCAUUGGUCAUGGAUGAUGGGAGUUGUCAUCCUCAGCAACUGGAAGCCCUUAUUCCUGGUCUACAUGGAUUGGCAGUGUCUCCCGAGGAUUUUAUUCAUCUAUUUUAUUUAUAACGUUUCUAUGCCACCCAAUUGGGCCACAGCACCUCUGGGUGGCUCACAAUUACAAGAUA
This is an RNA transcript of Varanus komodoensis (Komodo dragon), 8946 nucleotides long. It is a transcript of the gene named adenine nucleotide translocase lysine methyltransferase, with no coding region annotated. The transcript has 7 exons. The record is from RefSeq and is a predicted model, not a curated record. Lineage: Eukaryota; Metazoa; Chordata; Lepidosauria; Squamata; Varanidae.